This is a long non-coding RNA of Benincasa hispida (wax gourd), 916 nucleotides long. RefSeq lists it as uncharacterized. NCBI's taxonomy places the organism in Eukaryota, Viridiplantae, Streptophyta, Magnoliopsida, Cucurbitales, Cucurbitaceae. The record is from RefSeq and is a predicted model, not a curated record.
CUAAAGCAAUCUCCCGUUUCUCUCCUUUUAGUCAUGCAAAUGGAAAAGCUCUUUCAGAUGACUCAAAGAAGAUGAAGAACAAAGCAAAUAACCAGCAGGCAAAAGGAAGAACACAUCAAAGAGAAGAAGAAGAAAUUCAAGGAUUUAUAGUGUUUCAGUGUUUAAACACCUACAUCCACUGUGAAAGUAGCAGGUAAAACUCUUUAUUUAGCAGAAAUUUCAAAUUUCAAUUGUAGAUUACAAAAAUGAAUCUCACUCUCUUUUUUUCACUCCUUCAUUUGAAUGCAUGUAUUUAUACAGCUUUAAUACCUUCCUUUUCUUCUUCUUUUCAUGUAUUUUCUGAGUUGUAUAAGGAGAUCAAGGGUGGAGAUUAAUUUUGUUUUAACCAUCAGGUCUUACAAGAGAUUCUCAUACUUGGGGAGAAUCGAAGUUUUCCAAGUGAUCUGGUUUUCAUUUAAAGGUGGAAAGAUAAAAGUUCUUGGUGAGAGGGAAUCUCAUGUAAGAAACAGCUCGAGUUUUAGCAAAAGUCGCUCUCCUGGUUGAAAGGUCUGAAAGAGAACGUUGUUCUAGGGGAGGGAUGAUACCCGUUGGUACCGGAUUCAAAGGAUUGGUGCAUCGUUCGAGGCAAUAUAACAACCUCACAAUGUGCUUGGAUCAACCUCAACCUGGCUGCUUACCGAAGGGGGACCUUAAGGUUCAUUAAAAGAGAGUCCACACUUAGGGGAAAACUAAGUGAUCGUUCACUAAUAUUCUCACACUUAGGGUUUCAUUGAGAGGGGAUCUCACAUUUAGGGCAAGUCUAAGUGAUCAUUCACGAAGUAAAGCUACUCGUGUGUUAUUGUAAUUGUUAUUUAUUUAUAGAUAAGCACAACGUUGUAAUCGUUUGACUUUAUAUUAGUGAAAUUAUCUUUCCUAA